This 447-nucleotide ribosomal RNA is filed under the name uncultured bacterium. RNAcentral describes it as "partial 16S ribosomal RNA". It matches the Rfam family "Bacterial small subunit ribosomal RNA", at positions 328 to 792 of the family's 1533-position model. The record is from RNAcentral.
GCCCCAGACUCCUACGGGAGGCAGCAGUGGGGAAUAUUGCACAAUGGGGGAAACCCUGAUGCAGCGACGCCGCGUGAGCGAUGAAGUAUUUCGGUAUGUAAAGCUCUAUCAGCAGGGAAGAAAAUGACGGUACCUGACUAAGAAGCCCCGGCUAACUACGUGCCAGCAGCCGCGGUAAUACGUAGGGGGCAAGCGUUAUCCGGAUUUACCGGGUGUAAAGGGAGCGUAGACGGCUGUGCAAGCCAGAUGUGAAAGCCCGGGGCUCAACCCCGGGACUGCAUUUGGAACUGUCAAACUAGAGUACGGGAGAGGUAAGAGGAAUUCCUAGUGUAGCGGUGAAAUGCGUAGAUAUUAGGAGGAACACCAGUGGCGAAGGCGUCUUACUGGACCGAAACUGACGUUGAGGCUCGAAAGCGUGGGGAGCAAACAGGAUUAGAUACCCCCGUA